GUUUCCUACGGGGCGCAGCAGUGGGGAAUAUUGCACAAUGGGGGAAACCCUGAUGCAGCGACGCCGCGUGAGUGCAGAAGUAUUUCGGUAUGUAAAGCUCUAUCAGCAGGGAAGAAAAUGACGGUACCUGACUAAGAAGCCCCGGCUAACUACGUGCCAGCAGCCGCGGUAAUACGUAGGGGGCAAGCGUUAUCCGGAUUUACUGGAUGUAAAGGGAGCGUAGACGGCAUGGCAAGUCAGAUGUGCAAGCCCGGGGCUCAACCCCGGGACUGCAUUUGAAACUGUCAGGCU
This 291-nucleotide ribosomal RNA is filed under the name uncultured bacterium. RNAcentral describes it as "partial 16S ribosomal RNA". It matches the Rfam family "Bacterial small subunit ribosomal RNA", at positions 334 to 642 of the family's 1533-position model. The record is from RNAcentral.